RNAcentral lists this ribosomal RNA (22 nucleotides) under Senna alata (candle bush). RNAcentral's name for it is "partial 28S ribosomal RNA". The record is from RNAcentral. Lineage: Eukaryota; Viridiplantae; Streptophyta; Magnoliopsida; Fabales; Fabaceae.
CCCAGGUCAGGCGGUCUCCCGA